RNAcentral lists this ribosomal RNA (255 nucleotides) under uncultured bacterium. Its description in RNAcentral is "partial 16S ribosomal RNA". It matches the Rfam family "Bacterial small subunit ribosomal RNA", at positions 524 to 776 of the family's 1533-position model. The record is from RNAcentral.
UACGUAGGGUGCAAGCGUUGUCCGGAAUUAUUGGGCGUAAAGAGCUCGUAGGCGGUCUGUCGCGUCGAUCGUGAAAACUUGGGGCUUAACCCUGAGCUUGCGGUCGAUACGGGCAUGACUGGAGUUCGGCAGGGGAGACUGGAAUUCCUGGUGUAGCGGUGAAAUGCGCAGAUAUCAGGAGGAACACCGGUGGCGAAGGCGGGUCUCUGGGCCGAUACUGACGCUGAGGAGCGAAAGCGUGGGGGAGCGAACAGG